AAAUUGAAGAGUUUGAUCAUGGCUCAGAUUGAACGCUGGCGGCAGGCCUAACACAUGCAAGUCGAACGGUAGCACAGAGAGCUUGCUCUCGGGUGACGAGUGGCGGACGGGUGAGUAAUGUCUGGGAAACUGCCUGAUGGAGGGGGAUAACUACUGGAAACGGUGGCUAAUACCGCAUAACGUCGCAAGACCAAAGAGGGGGACCUUCGGGCCUCUUGCCAUCAGAUGUGCCCAGAUGGGAUUAGCUUGUUGGUGAGGUAACGGCUCACCAAGGCGACGAUCCCUAGCUGGUCUGAGAGGAUGACCAGCCACACUGGAACUGAGACACGGUCCAGACUCCUACGGGAGGCAGCAGUGGGGAAUAUUGCACAAUGGGCGCAAGCCUGAUGCAGCCAUGCCGCGUGUAUGAAGAAGGCCUUCGGGUUGUAAAGUACUUUCAGCGGGGAGGAAGGUGUUGUGGUUAAUAACCACAGCAAUUGACGUUACCCGCAGAAGAAGCACCGGCUAACUCCGUGCCAGC
This 520-nucleotide ribosomal RNA is filed under the name Salmonella enterica subsp. enterica serovar Infantis. Its description in RNAcentral is "partial 16S ribosomal RNA". It matches the Rfam family "Bacterial small subunit ribosomal RNA", at positions 1 to 512 of the family's 1533-position model. The record is from RNAcentral. Lineage: Bacteria; Pseudomonadati; Pseudomonadota; Gammaproteobacteria; Enterobacterales; Enterobacteriaceae. RNAcentral also lists the same sequence under 1 other name.